GUUUUUCAUCUCUGUUUCUAAAAAGAAAAAAAAAUAUAUAUAUAUAUAUAUAAAAUCUCAAAUAGCUCCUCGUGGGUUGUAGGUGAGCUUAAAACAAAUUGAAACCAACCGAUUGUCCAAAACUUUUGCAGUAGUUCAGUGCGGUUCCCUUUUAAGUCUUCUUUCUACGUAGCAAAACAUCACUGUGGGAACUUCUCCACUUCCCCAAAAUUCUGAAAACUGGCCAAUUGUCACUAGUUGUAGAGGAUACUACAACCUCUUUGCUGCCGCGUCAGAUCCUGGACCUGAAACCCAUCAACAGAACUGCUCCGUCCUACUAUAGACACGGCAUCGCUCAGAGCAGCGGUCUGUGCCUGGUAACUGUGAUUCCAGGAGCAUUUUACCACAGACAGAAUCAUCUCAGGGUGAGCAUCAGCCGACCUUUUUCCAUGGAUCUUUUCCACCUUCAAUCUUCUCUAACAAAUAUAAAAUUGAGUGUUUCUCUUGGCCAGCGUAGUUCAUCUUUGCGUGUACUUGCAUGUGGCGUGCCACAGGGAUCUAUCCUGGCCCCAGUCCUGUUUUCUUUGUAAAUGCUGCUAAUAGAUGUUAUCUUUAAGAAAAAGAGUGUUUUUUCACCUGUAUGCUGAUGAUUUUCUUUUGCAGCUUAGAUGCAAACAAUCCUUAAGACGAUUAGUCUUGUAUAAAAAACAAGUUACAGAUACGGUUUACACAGAACUAGUCAAGGAUGGGGUCUACUUAUUGAAUGAAUCAGCUUUUUCACUAAACCAGUUGAAUUGAUCCAUUCAUGGACUCAUUUGGAUACAUUAAAAUAUUCAUGGAUAACAUUUUAACAACAUUACAUAAACUGUCCACGGUUUUAAUGUUGUAGCUGGUGUGUGUGAGAAAGAGUAUAUUAAACAAUUGUGUUCUUAUCAGUUAUAAAUUAUAUAGGUUCAAUAAUUUAUUUUUGUUUUAUAUAUGUAAAAUAAAAUAUAUUUGUUCCCUAUAUUAAAAUGUUGUAUCUAGACUCUAGAUACAACUGAAUGAGAAAUUUGUGUUCACAUCAGGGACCCUGGACCACAGCCAUAGACGACAAUGCAUUAUAUGAGUCAAAAUUACUGAUUAUUAUUUUUCUAUUAUGCCAAAAAUGAUGUGCUACAGCUACUUUAAUAUAGGAAUAUAGGAGUAGGUGGUGAUUUGUGUCACGGAUAAUCGUCUGAUGCAUAUAACACACUUUUCUGGAAACACUUCAGGAGUUUAGAAGUCGUCAACACUGGUUGAAUUAUCGCAGAUUUUCAGUAAAUAUGUAAAAAAGAUGCCAUGAAGCCGACACUUGUGAUGACCAACACUUAUCGGCUGGAUUUUCAAAAGUCUGUGACAUAUUUAAAUUUGCAGCACAGAAUAAUUAAAAUAUGUCUGAGAGAUGUUGUUGUUUUACGUCUGAGAGUGGUACACACUGUUAUGCCCCCAAAACGUGAUGAGGAACGUAACAAAAUGUGAUUGGUUGUUGGACACGUCAUGGGCGUUCCUUGGCCAAUGAAUUCUUUCCAGACCGUCAGCUGUCUAGGUGAGAAUAGGUGCUGAGAGACUAUUAAGGCUGUUGUAAAAAAAUGUUUCUAAUAAUUCAUUUGGACACUCUAAAGUCUGUGUUAUAUUGUCAGUAUUUAUAAUAGCAGAUGGGAAUCUUCAUUUUAUUUUUUAGAUAUAAUGUACAUCACAUAGUUGCAUUUUUACCUUCUAGACAGAUUAUUAUUGCUCUCUUUGCCUCUCACAUUAGCAAAGAAAAUGAUUUAAUUCUUGACACUGGGGGAGCAAUGUAUGAGGAAGUUAACAGAGAGCCAUAGGUUUUAUAUAUUUAGUAUGCCUUUAUAUAUUCAGUUACACAACAGAUAGAGUACAGCUGUGAAGAAAAAUACAUUCAUGGUCGUAACUUUAAAUAUUAAAAAACUUCAGUAUUAAGAGAACAUUUUAAACACAAUGUGGUAACUCCUGAUUGUCAGGUGACGCAUGAAAGUCAAACUAUUACAGCAGGAUCUGAUUUGGUUUUGUGGAAUAAGGAAGUCAACUACAUUAGGAGAGAAAAACAUGUCAAGAAGAAACCUUUCAAGAUAGUCUUGUGAACUGACUGUUGAGACAGAGGUGGAUUUCAGAAAAUGAACUGCUGAGAUGAUUCGUAACUCAACAUCUGUCUCUGCUAUUAAAUGAAACCACAGCCUCCAGAAUGAAUCUCUCUAAAGAGCGUGACACGCAGAUAAAGACAGGCAAGAGUCUGUGGCAAAAUGAACCUCCUGAACCCAGCUGUGUGUCCGUGAAGAGUGACCAGUCAAUUAGUCCUCCAUUUAAUUUCAGUCUGGAGGAAUCUGCUGAUCUGAGUGAAAAACAUGAAGAACCAGAAUCACAUACAGCGAAGAAGAACCUAGACUCCAUUUUCAAGUAUCUUGAGUACAAAAUCAUUUCUGUGAUGAAGAGUGAGUUAAAAAGCUUUAAGAAAGUACUGAGUCCAGAUUACCCAGAUUGCUCUGAAAGAGACGAUGAUGAGGAUAGUAACAAAGUCAGAGAGGGUCUUCUGAAGAUAACACUGCUCAUCCUGAGAAAGAUGAACCAAACAGACCUUGCUAACACACUACAGACCAAAUUUAUGCCUGUGUAUCAAGAAAAACUCAGAUCCAGACUACAGGAUAAAUAUCAAAGACUGAAUGAAGGAAUUUCCAAUCAUGGAGACUCAACACAUCUGAAUGAGAUCUACACAGAGCUGUACAUCACAGAGGGAGGCAGUGGAGAGGUCAAUAAUGAACACGAGGUGAGACAGAUUGAGACAGUGUCCAGGAGACCAGAGACACAGGACACACCAAUCAACUGUAAUGACAUAUUUAUACCCUCACCUGGACAAGACAAACCCAUCAGAACUGUGCUGACAAAAGGAGUCGCUGGAAUUGGAAAAACAGUCUCUGUGCAGAAGUUCAUUCUUGACUGGGCUGAAGGAAAAGCCAACCAGGAUGUUCAUUUUAUCUUUCCACUUCCUUUCAGGGAGCUGAACUUGAUGCAGAAAAAUCUCAGUCUUGUGGAUCUUCUAAACCACCUUCACACAGAAACCAAAGAAUUUAAGUCAGCAGAUUAUGAUUACUACAAAUUCAUGUUCAUAUUUGAUGGUUUGGAUGAGUGUCGACUUAGUCUAGAUUUCCAAAACAAUCAGAACUUGUCUGAUGUAACAGAACCAGCUUCAGUGGAUGUGUUGCUGACCAACCUCAUCAAGGGCAAUCUACUUCCUUCUGCUCUCCUCUGGAUCACCUCUCGACCAGCAGCAGUCAAUCAGAUCCCUCCUGAGUGUGUCGACCAGGUCACAGAGGUGCGAGGAUUCAAUGACCCUCAGAAGGAAGAAUAUUUCAGGAAGAGAAUAAAUGAUCGGAGUCUGGCUGAUAGAGUCGUCACGCACAUCCGAUCAUCAAGAAGUCUGUUCAUCAUGUGUCACAUCCCAGUCUUCUGCUGGAUUUCAGCCACUGUACUCGAGAGGAUGAUGGGUAAAGCAGAGAGUGCAGAGAUUCCCAAAACUCUCACACAAAUGUUUACACACUUCCUGAUCUUCCAGACCAAACUGAAGACUCAGAAAUAUGAUGGGAAAUAUGAAAUUGAUUCUGAUAAGGCUAGACAGACGAUUCUGUCUCUAGGAAAACUGGCUUCUGAACAGCUGGAAAAAGGAAACCUGAUUUUCUAUGAGGAGGACCUGAAAGAGAGUGACAUUGAUGUCAGAGAAGUGUCAGUGUACUCAGGAGUUUGUACCCAGAUCUUCAGAGAGGAGUUUGGACUGCAGUUGGGAAAGGUGUACAGCUUUGUUCAUCUGAGUAUUCAGGAGUUUCUUGCUGCUUUAUUCAAGCUGCUGUCCUUUUCUGAACAAAACACAGGACUGUGGAAUGUGUUUAGAUUACCAAUGACAAGUUUACUAAAGAGAGAAGUGGACAAGGCCUUACAGAGUGAGAACGGACACUGGGACCUUUUCCUCCGGUUCCUUCUAGGUCUGUCACUAGAGUCUAAUCAGUCUCUCUUACAAGGUCUCCUGAAAAAGAGAGUAAGCAGCUCUGAUAUCAGUCAGGAAACAGCUGAAUACAUUAAACAGAAGAUCAGGGAGAAUCCCUCUCCAGAGAAAUCCAUCAAUCUGUUCCACUGUCUGAAUGAACUGAAUGAUUGUUCACUAGAGCAGGAAGUCCAAACAUACCUGAUCAGAACAGAGGACAGGUGUCUCUCUGGAGUCAAACUAUCUGCGGCUCAGUGGUCAGCUCUGGUGUUUGUGCUGUUGAACUCAGAAGAAGAGCUGGAUGAGUUUGUACUGAGUAAAUAUCAACGAUCAGAAGAAUGUCUUCUGAGGCUGCUGCCAGUGAUCAAAGCAUCUAGAAAGGCUGAUCUCUCCUGCUGUUAUAUUACAAAGAAAGGCUGGUCUGCUCUGACUUCAGCUCUGAGAUCAAACCAUUCACACCUGAGAGAACUGAAUCUGAGCCGUAAUAAACUCAGUGAUUCAGAAGUGCUCUGUGCUCUGCUGGAGGAUCCUGUAAGCUGUAAACUGGAAAAACUACAGCUGAGUUACUGCAGUAUUGGAGAGGAAGGCUGUGCUGCUCUGAUUUCAGCUCUGAGAUCAAACCCCUCACACUUGAAAGAACUGGAUCUGAGCCGUAAUAAACCAGGAGACUCGGGUGUGAAGCUGCUCUCUGCUCUACUGGAGGAUCCACACUGUAAACUGGAGAAACUACAGCUGUGGGACUGCAGUAUUGGAGAGGAAGGCUGUGCUGCUCUGAUUUCAGCUCUGAGAUCAAAUUCCUCACACCUGAGAGAACUGGAUCUGAGCUGUAAUAAACCAGGAGACACAGGAGUGAAGCUGCUCUCUGCUCUAGUGGAGGAUCCACACUGCUGUGUAACUGCAAUAUUGGAGAAGAAGGCUGUGCUGCUCUGAUUUCAGCUCUGAGUUCAAACUCCUCACACCUGAGAGAACUGGAUCUGAGCCUUAAUAAACCAGGAGACUCAAGAGUAAAGCUGCGCUCUGCUCUACUGGAGGUUUCACACAGUAAACUGAAGAAACUAUAUAUUUGACAGUGGAAACUCCACAAGCUUCAAACAACUAAUUCAAAACAUCACGUCCUGAGCAAGACUGUCACCUGCACAUUAAUGCUGAUCCAACAGAGAUUGGACAUACUGCGCUGUGAAAAAAAAUGCAUAAGUACAGUAUAUUUGUCAUGGAAUGUGGUUGUACUCAUGUAACACGAUAAACAAAGGUUUCUUUAAUUCUAAUUUAAUAAGCUUUAACAGACAUCCCAUUAAAUGACAUUAAUUCAUAGCAAAUCAAAAGGGGAAACUGAAUGCUUAUAAGGACAGGGAAACAAUCAGGGUGAACUGAAACAGGUGAAGAAACACAGGUGUUUUAACUAAUAAUAUUACUAAUUGAGGACAGGAAGAGGAAGGGCCAAAUAAGGACAAAGAGGACACAUGGGGGAAAGAAACGCAACAGAACAGUCCGGGAAUGUGGAGCCGAGAAGGACCAAGGCAGAUCACGAGUCUCGGGGUGCUAUUCAGGCAGUUCGGCGAGCCAAUGCAGUGCAGGGAGCUUGAGAACCACAACCUUUUCCCAUAGUCCACCAACCUUUGACUCGGCUACGGCUAUAUAGCUCCCGCUGACAAAAUGUCUUGGGGACGUUAUCCAGGGACCACAGAUUUCAGGAGGCCAUUAAGGAGUUUGUCACGUUAUUCAUGCUUCUGACAUGACUAGAUCAGAAAUUUAAAUUCUAAGAAAAUGACCCAGAAUACUUUAUAAUACAGUACAUUUCUGGCAUUAUUUUCUGUUUCCUAUAGCCUCUGGCUCUGUAACAGCAGGUUUAACUAUCUUUAAGUAGGCUAAACUGUUGGGUAUUUAUCCCUGCUUUGGAACAAAAUGUAUUCAGUGAUUACAUAUUUCUAUUUAUAUGAAUUAUUUUCUCAUAUACACCCAAAGCCAUCUUUGUGUACUACUUUUACAUUUUAAAACCUGUUCAGACCUAAGUUCAAACCACAGUGCAAUACAAAAAUGAACUAUAGCUGCAAGCAGCAAUGAACAGGCCCUCAUUUAAAGAAGAAAUAUAUAAAUGAUAUGUAAAAGCAAUAUAUACAGACGUGGACAAAAUUGUUGGUACCCUUUGGUCAAUGAAAGAAAAAG
RNA transcript from Puntigrus tetrazona (Sumatra barb), 6151 nucleotides. It is a transcript of the gene named NACHT, LRR and PYD domains-containing protein 3-like, with no coding region annotated. The record is from RefSeq and is a predicted model, not a curated record. The transcript is spliced from 11 exons. NCBI's taxonomy places the organism in Eukaryota, Metazoa, Chordata, Actinopteri, Cypriniformes, Cyprinidae.